This is a long non-coding RNA of Sapajus apella (tufted capuchin), 924 nucleotides long. RefSeq lists it as uncharacterized. The record is from RefSeq and is a predicted model, not a curated record. The transcript has 2 exons. NCBI's taxonomy places the organism in Eukaryota, Metazoa, Chordata, Mammalia, Primates, Cebidae.
ACCAAAAUUAGGAAAUUCAUAACACGGACUGGGAUGAUUUACUUUCUCAGGAUAACUCAUAAUCUCAAAUAUGUCUGACUAAAAUCUACUCAUUAGCAAAGUUAAAGAAAACUUAUGGAAGGCCAAUGAUUUGGGAUGAGCAUCUUCUGCACUAGGUCCCAACAGACCAGCCCAAAAUGGAGUCACUCACGCUAAUGUUCCCAUUCACCAAACUGAAAACUAAACUGUUUACUUGCACGAUCUCACCUGAGAAGUCAAGAGGGAGAUGAUAGCCAAACACCCAGACAGGAAUAAGAAGCAAAGACGGAUGUGGGUGUGUGACUAGAGGGUCCUGAAGAGAAGAUGAGUCACAUGUGCUGUUUGCCCUGCAAAGCACGUGUCUCUUACUAACAUCAAUAGAACCUGAACCCAUGGAACAGAUCUUUGUCAAUUACUAUUGUUAUUAGUUUUCUUUUUUAUUUAAUGGUUCAGAUUCUGCACCCUCUUCAGGUUUCUAGAUUUCUUUUCUUAUGUAUCUUGAUGACAGGCAAAACUUGCUUCCCAUUAUAGAAGUGGAAGGCUCAUUUCCCAGCCUCCCUUGUAGUUGGGGUUCAGAAUAUGACUGAGCUCUUUGUCAGAUACACCUUUCUAGUGGGGCAAGGAAGCUGUGAGGAGGAAGAACAUUUCUGGAGGUUGUUCACAGCACUGUCAACAAUGUGGACUUUCUAGUGACAACAGUGGCUGAAGAGCGCCAGAUGCAGAGUGACUGGUGACUUCAGGGGCAAGCUGUGAUGUCUAGCUUUAUCCUAGAUGGGCUCUGGAGGAAGAUUUUGGCUGUGGUCCUGGCGGCUGCCAGGGCUUAUUCGUUCCUGCUCAAUUUCUAAGCCUGGUUUCGAAGUCUGUGAAAUACAUGAUACCCUUUUAUUAAAUGCUUUUUCUGCUGAA